GUGGGAAACAAAAGCAUGUCAUUUCCUGCUGGGAAGUCGGACAGGUAAGUGGCCUGGCUGGGCCAGCAGGGGCACCAACCACUGUACCUGAGACCCUUAGCAGAAUGCAGCUCCAGGGGCUUCUGCUGGACAUGGGCAAGACCUCUCUGUCACUCAAAGCAGGAGAGGACGUCACGGGCUCCAUGUCAAAGUCACGCUCACAUGACCAUAUCCUGCCUCCCGGGCCUCAAAUCCCAUCCUUCUCUUUCUUGCACUGUAGUUUCUCACUGGUACCCUUAUCUCAGAGCACAUGGGUGGGGUUCUUAGGGAUGAGGGAAGUCAACAGGUGGGUCACCAGUGGCAAGCGUUUGCAUAGCAUGAACAGCUCAUGCUAGGGCAGAGCUGGAGGUCAGGCUCCCACAUAGGAAGCAGGACAAGCCUGCUGCCACAGACCCCACAGCUCAGUGCCCAAGCGUAGGCCUCAUGUUCAUCCCUCCCUUACUGUGUGUUUUGAGAUUUGUACGGCCUCUGAACACAAAGAGGUAACUCUGGUUUUCAUCCAUCUCUGCAGAGGCUUCCGGCACAACUGGCCAAAGAGAUAGUCUUGGAGAGACUCCUGGGGCCGUGGACACUGCUGCUUUGUACAAAACCCAUUUUAAAAUCAUUAAAAAUUUAUUCCUACCAG
RNAcentral lists this long non-coding RNA (664 nucleotides) under Rattus norvegicus (Norway rat). RNAcentral's name for it is "long non-coding RNA NONRATT022847". The record is from RNAcentral. Lineage: Eukaryota; Metazoa; Chordata; Mammalia; Rodentia; Muridae.